RNAcentral lists this ribosomal RNA (360 nucleotides) under uncultured bacterium. RNAcentral's name for it is "SSU rRNA". It matches the Rfam family "Bacterial small subunit ribosomal RNA", at positions 26 to 369 of the family's 1533-position model. The record is from RNAcentral.
AGAACGAACGCUGGCGGCGUGGAUAAGACAUGCAAGUCGAGCGGGGAUUUCCUUUAGUAGCAAUACCGAAGGAAGUCUAGCGGCGAACGGGUGCUUAACACGUGGGCAACCUGCCAAGAAGUGGGGGAUAGCUCGCCGAAAGGCGAAUUAAUACCGCAUGUGAUUAGAGUGGACAUCCAUUCGAAAUUAAAGUCGGGGCAACCUGACGCUUUUUGUGGGGCCCGCGGCCUAUCAGCUAGUUGGUGAGGUAACGGCCCACCAAGGCUUUGACGGGUAGCUGGUCUGAGAGGACGACCAGCCACACUGGGACUGAGACACGGCCCAGACACCUACGGGUGGCAGCAGUCGAGAAUUUUUCAC